AUUUGAUAUUUGUGAAAGCUUUUAAAUAUGAAAAAUUGUCUGUUAAUGAGCUCUUAGUUUCCUGGGAUAGUUUGAUAACUGAUAAAAAAAAAAAAGAUGAAUGAAUUUGGAUUUUGAUUUUUUGAAAUAUUUCUUUGCUGAUUCAGCAACAGAGGAGGGAAAGUGAUGUUAAUGUAAUUUGAUGCAUCACAACCUAUGUGCACCAAACUAUUUUUUUAAUCUGUAAAUAAUAGAAAUAGAUAAAAAAAAAACACAAAAAAAACCAACAUAAAUGCAUACCAUUGUAAUACAUAUUUAUGACAGAUGUUACUGGAUCGAUUACACAUAGUACAUUAGACAUAUAUAAGGUGCAUAAUCAGCAUUUAUUCCACUCCAACAAUCCUAGGUUUAUUUUCUUUCUCUCUGUGUGAUAAAUAUUAACUGUAUUAUGAAGAUCUACUGUUUAUUAUCAUUCUCCCCUCUGACAAGUACAUGCUCAUACUGAGUUUGUUUAAAUGAUCAUUUUGAAUAAGUACUUUUGAUAUUAUAACCUGAUGGGGAGCACUUUUCUACAGAAUAUUAGAAAUUAUUUUAGCCAGGAAUUUUCAGCUCCCUUAGCAGUUAAUGUUGACAUUAGAAUAUUUUCUGUCUAGCACCUUCUUGGUUUUGAUGAUCUUAAAAAUCUUUUUUAAAUAUAUUUUGCUUUCCAAGUAUUUACUCUUGAUGGUUGACCUGUUGAGGGUAAUUUUCAGAAACAUGUCCAGCAC
This 746-nucleotide long non-coding RNA is filed under the name Mytilus galloprovincialis (Mediterranean mussel). Lineage: Eukaryota; Metazoa; Mollusca; Bivalvia; Mytilida; Mytilidae. The record is from RNAcentral.